CGGGUGCACUGAUCCGGCCGGGCCUUUCCCUCUGUGGAACCCCAUGGCCUUCACUGGCUGUGCGGGGGAAACAGGACUUUUACUGUGAAAAAAUUAGAGUGCUCCAGGAAGGCCUAUGCUCGAAUACAUUAGCAUGGAAUAAUAGAAUAGGACGCGUGGUUCUAUUUUGUUGGUUUCUAGGACCGCCGUAAUGAUUAAUAGGGACAGUCGGGGGCAUCAGUAUUCAAUUGUCAGAGGUGAAAUUCUUGGAUCUAUUGAAGACUAACUACUGCGAAAGCAUUUGCCAAGGAUGUUUUCAUUGAUAAGGAACAAAAGUUAGGGGAUCGAAGACGAUCAGAUACCGUCGUAGUCUUAACUAUAAACUAUGCCGACUAGGGAUCGGACGAUGUUAUUUCUUGACGCGUUCGGCACCUUUCGAGAAAUCAAAGUGCUUGGGCUCCAGGGGGAGUAUGGUCGCAAGGCUGAAACUUAAAGAAAUUGACGGAAGGGCACCACCAGGGGUGGAACCUGCGGCUUAAUUUGACUCAACACGGGGAAACUCACCAGGUCCAGACACAGUGAGGAUUGACAGAUUGAGAGCUCUUUCUUGAUUCUGUGGGUGGUGGUGCAUGGCCGUUCUUAGUUGGUGGAGUGAUUUGUCUGCUUAAUUGCGAUAACGAACGAGACCUUAACCUGCUAACUAGCCCGUAUUGCUUUGGCAGUACGCUGGCUUCUUAGAGGGACUAUCGG
RNAcentral lists this ribosomal RNA (729 nucleotides) under uncultured eukaryote. RNAcentral's name for it is "SSU rRNA". It matches the Rfam family "Eukaryotic small subunit ribosomal RNA", at positions 670 to 1426 of the family's 1831-position model. The record is from RNAcentral.